CCUACGGGAGGCAGCAGUGGGGAAUCUUGCGCAAUGGGCGAAAGCCUGACGCAGCCAUGCCGCGUGUAUGAUGAAGGUCUUAGGAUUGUAAAAUACUUUCACCGGUGAAGAUAAUGACUGUAGCCGGAGAAGAAGCCCCGGCUAACUUCGUGCCAGCAGCCGCGGUAAUACGAAGGGGGCUAGCGUUGCUCGGAAUUACUGGGCGUAAAGGGAGCGUAGGCGGACAUUUAAGUCAGAGGUGAAAUCCCGGAGCUUAACUUCGGAACUGCCUUUGAUACUGGGUGUCUUGAGUGUGAGAGAGGUAUGUGGAACUCCGAGUGUAGAGGUGAAAUUCGUAGAUAUUCGGAAGAACACCAGUGGCGAAGGCGACAUACUGGCUCAUUACUGACGCUGAGGCUCGAAAGCGUGGGGAGCAAACAGGAUUAGAUACCCUGGUAGUCCACGCCGUAAACGAUGAUUGCUAGUUGUCGGGAAGCUUGCUUCUCGGUGACGCNGCUACGCAUAGACAUCCGCCGUCGGGAGGUACGGUCGCGAGAAUUAAACUUAAAUAGAAGUAGUACGGCGUGAGACGUGCCGACGGACGACGACGAGGGAGGUUAGG
RNAcentral lists this ribosomal RNA (601 nucleotides) under uncultured bacterium. RNAcentral describes it as "bacterial SSU rRNA". It matches the Rfam family "Bacterial small subunit ribosomal RNA", at positions 338 to 961 of the family's 1533-position model. The record is from RNAcentral.